This 200-nucleotide unclassified non-coding RNA is filed under the name Trechispora sp. RNAcentral's name for it is "partial internal transcribed spacer 2". The record is from RNAcentral. Lineage: Eukaryota; Fungi; Basidiomycota; Agaricomycetes; Trechisporales; Hydnodontaceae.
UUAAGUUCAGCGGGUAGUCCUACCUGAUUUGAGGUCAGAUUUCAAAAAGUUGACCGCCACCCUUGAGAGGCAGUCGGGGAAGGGCACAAGAGGGGAACGUCUCUGUCGAGCGAGGAUGGUACAACGCCCAGUCGAGUUCGACCCACUGGCCCAACCGAUGCAUUUGAGGGGAGCCGCCUGACGGCAGCAGAGCCCCCACA